UUGGUGCUUGCAUCAUGAUUUACAUUUGAGUGAGUGGCGAACUGGUGAGUAACACGUGGGAAACCUGCCCAGAAGCGGGGGAUAACACCUGGAAACAGAUGCUAAUACCGCAUAACAACUUGGACCGCAUGGUCCGAGUUUGAAAGAUGGCUUCGGCUAUCACUUUUGGAUGGUCCCGCGGCGUAUUAGCUAGAUGGUGAGGUAACGGCUCACCAUGGCAAUGAUACGUAGCCGACCUGAGAGGGUAAUCGGCCACAUUGGGACUGAGACACGGCCCAAACUCCUACGGGAGGCAGCAGUAGGGAAUCUUCCACAAUGGACGAAAGUCUGAUGGAGCAACGCCGCGUGAGUGAAGAAGGGUUUCGGCUCGUAAAACUCUGUUGUUAAAGAAGAACAUAUCUGAGAGUAACUGUUCAGGUAUUGACGGUAUUUAACCAGAAAGCCACGGCUAACUACGUGCCAGCAGCCGCGGUAAUACGUAGGUGGCAAGCGUUGUCCGGAUUUAUUGGGCGUAAAGCGAGCGCAGGCGGUUUUUUAAGUCUGAUGUGAAAGCCUUCGGCUCAACCGAAGAAGUGCAUCGGAAACUGGGAAACUUGAGUGCAGAAGAGGACAGUGGAACUCCAUGUGUAGCGGUGAAAUGCGUAGAUAUAUGGAAGAACACCAGUGGCGAAGGCGGCUGUCUGGUCUGUAACUGACGCUGAGGCUCGAAAGUAUGGGUAGCAAACAGGAUUAGAUACCCUGGUAGUCCAUACCGUAAACGAUGAAUGCUAAGUGUUUGGAAGGGUUUCCGCCCUUCAGUGCUGCAGCUAACGCAUUAAGCAUUCCGCCUGGGGGAGUACGGCCGCAAGGCUGAAACUCAAAGGAAUUGACGGGGGCCCGCACAAGCGGUGGAGCAUGGGGGUUUAAUUCGAAGCUACGCCGAAGAACCUUACCAGGUCUUGACAUACUAUGCAAAUCUUAGAAGAUUAGACGUUCCCUUCGGGGACAUGGAUACAAGGUGGGGGCAUGGGUUGUCGUCAGCUCCUGUCGUGGAAAAGUUUGGGGUUAAUUCCCCCCACCAAGCGCCACCCCUUAUUAUUCAUUUGCCCGCCAUUAAAUUUGGGCCCUCCUGUUGGAAAUGCCCGGUGAGAAACCCAAGGAAAGAGGGGGG
RNAcentral lists this ribosomal RNA (1150 nucleotides) under Lactiplantibacillus plantarum. Its description in RNAcentral is "bacterial SSU rRNA". It matches the Rfam family "Bacterial small subunit ribosomal RNA", at positions 73 to 1180 of the family's 1533-position model. The record is from RNAcentral. Lineage: Bacteria; Bacillati; Bacillota; Bacilli; Lactobacillales; Lactobacillaceae.